CCUAGCCUUAAACACAAGUGAUGCAUUUACACCUUUCGCUUGCCAGGGUACUACGAGCCCCAGCUUAAAACCCAAAGGACUUGGCGGUGCUUUAGACCCCCCUAGAGGAGCCUGUUCUAGAACCGAUAACCCCCGUUAAACCUCACCCUCUCUUGUUAAUCCCGCCUAUAUACCGCCGUCGUCAGCUUACCCUGUGAAGGAACUACAGUGAGCUUAAUUGGUACAACCUAAAACGUCAGGUCGAGGUGUAGCGUACGAGAGGGGAAGAAAUGGGCUACAUUCACUGAUACAGUGCACACGAACAAUGCCUUGAAAUAGACAUUAAAAGGAGGAUUUAGCAGUAAGGAGAGAACAGAGUGCUCCCCUGAAACUGGCCCUGAAGCGCGCA
This 388-nucleotide ribosomal RNA is filed under the name Eucyclogobius newberryi (tidewater goby). RNAcentral describes it as "partial 12S ribosomal RNA". It matches the Rfam family "Bacterial small subunit ribosomal RNA", at positions 795 to 1385 of the family's 1533-position model. Lineage: Eukaryota; Metazoa; Chordata; Actinopteri; Gobiiformes; Gobiidae. The record is from RNAcentral.